CCCCGUCCUCGCGGUGGCCGCCACCGGUGUUCUCGGCACCGUCGGGGCCCGUGGGCUCGGUGCCGACGUCGGGGC
This 75-nucleotide transfer RNA is filed under the name mine drainage metagenome. RNAcentral describes it as "tRNA-Glu". The record is from RNAcentral.